GACGAACGCUGGCGGCAUGCCUAACACAUGCAAGUCGAGCGAGUUGAUUUCUUCGGAAUGAAGCUAGCGGCGGACGGGUGAGUAACACGUGGGCAACCUGCCUCAUAGAGGGGAAUAGCCUUCCGAAAGGAAGAUUAAUACCGCAUAAGAUUGUAGUACCGCAUGGUAUAGCAAUUAAAGGAGUAAUCCGCUAUGAGAGGGGCCCGCGGCGCAUUAGCUAGUUGGUGAGGUAACGGCUCACCAAGGCGACGAUGCGUAGCCGACCUGAGGGGGGGAGCGGCCAAAUUGGGACUGAGACACGGCCCAGACGCCUACGGGAGGCAGAAGUGGGGAAUAUUGCACAAUGGGGGAAACCCUGAUGCAGCAAUGCCGCGUGAGUGAUGACGGCCUUCGGGUUGUAAAGCUCUGUCUUCGGGGACGAUAAUGACGGUACCCGAGGAGGAAGCCACGGCUAACUACGUGCCAGCCGCCGCCGUAA
Molecule: ribosomal RNA, 478 nt
Filed under: uncultured bacterium
Lineage: Bacteria
Description: partial 16S ribosomal RNA
Rfam family: Bacterial small subunit ribosomal RNA
Source: RNAcentral